UGAUGGCAGUGAUGAUUCCUAUAAUGUUGCUCACCUGAUGUACAAACAUGAGGGUGCAUAGUCACUACCUCAUCUGAGCCAUCU
Small nucleolar RNA from Apteryx haastii (Great spotted kiwi), 84 nucleotides. The record is from Ensembl. NCBI's taxonomy places the organism in Eukaryota, Metazoa, Chordata, Aves, Apterygiformes, Apterygidae.